GAUGAACGCUAGCUACAGGCUUAACACAUGCAAGUCGAGGGGAAACGACAUCGAAAGCUUGCUUUUGAUGGGCGUCGACCGGCGCACGGGAGAGUAACGCGUAUCCAACCUGCCCACCACUUGGGGAUAACCUUGCGAAAGUAAGACUAAUACCCAAUGAUAUCUCUAGAAGACAUCUGAAAGAGAUUAAAGAUUUAUCGGUGAUGGAUGGGGAUGCGUCUGAUUAGCUUGUUGGCGGGGUAACGGCCCACCAAGGCAACGAUCAGUAGGGGUUCUGAGAGGAAGGUCCCCCACAUUGGAACUGCGACACGGUCCAAACUCCUACGGGAGGCAGCAGUGAGGAAUAUUGGUCAAUGGACGAGAGUCUGAACCAGCCAAGUAGCGUGCAGGAAGACGGCCCUAUGGGUUGUAAACUGCUUUUAUAAGGGAAUAAAGUGAGUCUCGUGAGACUUUUUGCAUGUACCUUAUGAAUAAGGACCGGCUAAUUCCGUG
This 492-nucleotide ribosomal RNA is filed under the name uncultured bacterium. Its description in RNAcentral is "partial 16S ribosomal RNA". It matches the Rfam family "Bacterial small subunit ribosomal RNA", at positions 28 to 507 of the family's 1533-position model. The record is from RNAcentral.